AACGAACGCUGGCGGCAUGCCUAACACAUGCAAGUCGAACGAGACCUUCGGGUCUAGUGGCGCACGGGUGCGUAACGCGUGGGAACCUGCCCUUAGGUUCGGAAUAACUCCCCGAAAGGGGUGCUAAUACCGGAUAAUGUCUUCGGACCAAAGAUUUAUCGCCUUUGGAUGGGCCCGCGUUGGAUUAGCUAGUUGGUAGUGUAAAAGCCUACCAAGGCGACGAUCCAUAGCUGGUCUGAGAGGAUGAUCAGCCACACUGGGACUGAGACACGGACCAGACUCCUACGGGAGGCAGCAGUAGGGAAUAUUGGAGAAGGGGCGAAAGCCUGAUACAGCAAUGCGGCGUGAGUGAUGAAGGGCUUAGGGUUGUAAAGCUCUUUUAGCCGGGAUGAUAAUGACAGUACCGGGAGAAUAAGCUCCGGCUAACUACGUG
This 433-nucleotide ribosomal RNA is filed under the name uncultured bacterium. Its description in RNAcentral is "partial 16S ribosomal RNA". It matches the Rfam family "Bacterial small subunit ribosomal RNA", at positions 29 to 507 of the family's 1533-position model. The record is from RNAcentral.